ACUAUCCAUAAAGAGGGUUCAUCACUUUCACAUUUUAUUCUCAUCAUCUCAAAAUAAUUAAAAAAGAUGGUGUAGUGUGGAUUAUAAUAGUUACCAACCAUUAAAACAAAAAACUAAAUUACAAUGAAGUUUAUAUCAUAUUAGUAAAUUUUACCAAGCAGGAAUAAAAUAGAAUAAUCCGCCUCACUCAACUCUCUCUCUUUGUCACAGAAUCACCACCAACUUCGCUUCCAUGUCCACCUCGCGGCUUCGCCAUAUAGCACCUCUCUCUGCCAUGUCCACCAAAGACGGUGCUGGCAACAACGCUGUUUCUUCCUUUGCCACCGCCACUACUUCCAAUGAUUACGAAGGUUAGCUCAAUAUUCAUUUCUUACAAAGUGUCAUUUUUUAUCAUUU
This 396-nucleotide long non-coding RNA is filed under the name Trifolium pratense (red clover). RNAcentral describes it as "long non-coding RNA (TPRA_LNC011574)". Lineage: Eukaryota; Viridiplantae; Streptophyta; Magnoliopsida; Fabales; Fabaceae. The record is from RNAcentral.